UGAUGACCAAGAAGGAUAUGAUGAGAAUCGGAGGGUAACUCAGUCCGAGUUCGUGACUCGGCAAUUGUUCCCUCUCGAUGGGUCCCACACUUCUCGGAAACCUGAUUGGGUGGAUCUAUCGUUUGAUCCACCCAAUACUGUUAGUUUCCGAGAGGCAGAAAUAGUACGUGCGCAACAACAGUACCAACAACAGCAACAACAACAACCGCAACAAGUUAAGAAGAGUAGGAGGGGGCCUCGGUCUAGAAGUUCACAGUAC
RNAcentral lists this long non-coding RNA (259 nucleotides) under Nicotiana tabacum (common tobacco). RNAcentral describes it as "long non-coding RNA (NTAB_LNC005048)". Lineage: Eukaryota; Viridiplantae; Streptophyta; Magnoliopsida; Solanales; Solanaceae. The record is from RNAcentral.